UUAAGUUAAUAAGGGCGCACGGUGGAUGCCUUGGCACUAGAAGCCGAUGAAGGACGUGACUAACGACGAAAUGCUUUGGGGAGCUGUAAGUGAGCAAUGAUCCAGAGAUGUCCGAAUGGGGGAACCCGGCAGGUAAUGCCUGUCACUCAUUACUGUUAAGGUAAUGUAGAGGAAGACGCAGUGAACUGAAACAUCUAAGUAGCUGCAGGAAGAGAAAGCAAAAGCGAUUGCCUUAGUAGCGGCGAGCGAAACGGCAAGAGGGCAAACCGAAGAGUUUACUCUUCGGGGUUGUAGGACUGCAACGUGGACUUAAAGAUUAUAGAAGAACUACCUGGGAAGGUAGGCCAAAGAGAGUAAUAGCCUCGUAUUCGAAAUAGUCUUUAUACCUAGCAGUAUCCUGAGUACGGCGAGACACGAGAAAUCUCGUCGGAAUCUGGGAGGACCAUCUCCCAACCCUAAAUACUCUCUAGUGACCGAUAGUGAACCAGUACCGUGAGGGAAAGGUGAAAAGCACCCCGGGAGGGGAGUGAAAUAGAACCUGAAACCGUGUGCCUACAACAAGUUCGAGCCCGUUAAUGGGUGAGAGCGUGCCUUUUGUAGAAUGAACCGGCGAGUUACGAUAUGAUGCGAGGUUAAGUUGAAGAGACGGAGCCGUAGGGAAACCGAGUCUUAAUAGGGCGCAUUAGUAUCAUGUCGUAGACCCGAAACCAUGUGACCUACCCAUGAGCAGGGUGAAGGUGAGGUAAAACUCACUGGAGGCCCGAACCAGGGCACGUUGAAAAGUGCUUGGAUGACUUGUGGGUAGCGGAGAAAUUCCAAACGAACUUGGAGAUAGCUGGUUCUCUCCGAAAUAGCUUUAGGGCUAGCGUCGAUGUUAAGUCUCUUGGAGGUAGAGCACUGUUUGAUUGAGGGGUCCAUCCCGGAUUACCAAUAUCAGAUAAACUCCGAAUGCCAAUGAGAUAUAAUCGGCAGUCAGACUGCGAGUGCUAAGAUCCGUAGUCGAAAGGGAAACAGCCCAGACCACCAGCUAAGGUCCCAAAAUAUAUGUUAAGUGGAAAAGGAUGUGGGGUUGCACAGACAACUAGGAUGUUAGCUUAGAAGCAGCUAUUCAUUCAAAGAGUGCGUAAUAGCUCACUAGUCGAGUGACCCUGCGCCGAAAAUGUACCGGGGCUAAAACAUAUUACCGAAGCUGUGGAUACCUUUUAGGUAUGGUAGGAGAGCGUUCUAUGUGUGAAGAAGGUGUACCGUGAGGAGCGCUGGAACGCAUAGAAGUGAGAAUGCCGGUAUGAGUAGCGAAAGACAGGUGAGAAUCCUGUCCACCGUAUGACUAAGGUUUCCAGGGGAAGGCUCGUCCUCCCUGGGUUAGUCGGGACCUAAGGAGAGACCGAAAGGUGUAUCCGAUGGACAACAGGUUGAUAUUCCUGUACUAGAGUAUAUAGUGAUGGAGGGACGCAGUAGGCUAACUAAAGCGUGCGAUUGGAAGUGCACGUCUAAGCAGUGAGGUGUGAUAUGAGUCAAAUGCUUAUAUCUCUAACAUUGAGCUGUGAUGGGGAGCGAAGUUAAGUAGCGAAGUUAGUGAUGUCACACUGCCAAGAAAAGCUUCUAGCGUUAAUUAUACUCUACCCGUACCGCAAACCGACACAGGUAGUCGAGGCGAGUAGCCUCAGGUGAGCGAGAGAACUCUCGUUAAGGAACUCGGCAAAAUGGCCCCGUAACUUCGGGAGAAGGGGCGCUGGCUUUAAGUCAGCCGCAGUGAAUAGGCCCAAGCAACUGUUUAUCAAAAACACAGCUCUCUGCUAAAUCGUAAGAUGAUGUAUAGGGGGUGACGCCUGCCCGGUGCUGGAAGGUUAAGAGGAGCGCUUAGCAUUAGCGAAGGUGUGAAUUGAAGCCCCAGUAAACGGCGGCCGUAACUAUAACGGUCCUAAGGUAGCGAAAUUCCUUGUCGGGUAAGUUCCG
This 1956-nucleotide ribosomal RNA is filed under the name human gut metagenome. RNAcentral's name for it is "bacterial LSU rRNA". It matches the Rfam family "Bacterial large subunit ribosomal RNA", at positions 3 to 1985 of the family's 2925-position model. The record is from RNAcentral.